RNAcentral lists this ribosomal RNA (718 nucleotides) under Ornithobacterium rhinotracheale. RNAcentral's name for it is "bacterial SSU rRNA". It matches the Rfam family "Bacterial small subunit ribosomal RNA", at positions 82 to 801 of the family's 1533-position model. The record is from RNAcentral. Lineage: Bacteria; Pseudomonadati; Bacteroidota; Flavobacteriia; Flavobacteriales; Weeksellaceae.
CGGAUUAAGGAAACCGGCGCACGGGUGCGUAACGCGUAUGCAACUUGCCCUUAUCAGGAGGAUAGCCCGGGGAAACUCGGAUUAAUACUCCAUAAGAUUUUGAUUGGCAUCGAUUAAAAUUGAAAGAUUUAUUGGAUAAGGAUAGGCAUGCGUCAGAUUAGUUAGUUGGUAGUGUAACGGACUACCAAGGCGAUGAUCUGUAGGGGGCCUGAGAGGGUGAACCCCCACACUGGUACUGAGACACGGACCAGACUCUACGGGAGGCAGCAGUGAGGAAUAUUGGACAAUGGAGGGAACUCUGAUCCAGCCAUCCCGCGUGCAGGAAGACGGCCUAUGGGUUGUAAACUGCUUUUGUAUGGGGAUAAAUCUACCUACGUGUAGGUAGUUGAAGGUACCAUACGAAUAAGCAUCGGCUAACUCCGUGCCAGCAGCCGCGGUAAUACGGAGGAUGCAAGCGUUAUCCGGAUUCAUUGGGUUUAAAGGGUCCGUAGGCGGGCUGAUAAGUCAGUGGUGAAAUUUUGUCGCUCAACGAUAAAACUGCCAUUGAUACUGUUAGUCUUGAGUGAUAUUGAAGUAGCUGGAAUGUGUAGUGUAGCGGUGAAAUGCAUAGAUAUUACACAGAACACCGAUUGCGAAGGCAGGUUACUAAGUAUUAACUGACGCUGAAGGACGAAAGCGUGGGGAGCGAACAGGAUUAGAUACCCUGGUAGUCCACGCA